GCUCGUUUAGCUCAGUGGAUAGAGCGUCGGCCUCCUAAGCCGAAGGUCGCGGGUUCGACCCCCGCAACGAGUA
Molecule: transfer RNA, 73 nt
Filed under: Rozella allomycis CSF55
Lineage: Eukaryota; Fungi; Rozellomycota
Description: tRNA-Arg (CCT) (tRNA-Arg-CCT-1-1)
Rfam family: tRNA
About the family: Transfer RNA (tRNA) molecules are approximately 80 nucleotides in length. Their secondary structure includes four short double-helical elements and three loops (D, anti-codon, and T loops). Further hydrogen bonds mediate the characteristic L-shaped molecular structure. tRNAs have two regions of fundamental functional importance: the anti-codon, which is responsible for specific mRNA codon recognition, and the 3' end, to which the tRNAs corresponding amino acid is attached (by aminoacyl-tRNA synthetases). tRNAs cope with the degeneracy of the genetic code in two manners: having more than one tRNA (with a specific anti-codon) for a particular amino acid; and 'wobble' base-pairing, i.e. permitting non-standard base-pairing at the 3rd anti-codon position.
Source: Rfam by way of RNAcentral